GCUGCGGUCGUCCAGGUAACCGAGACCACUGAAAGCGCAGAACUGAAGGUCAAGGGAGACUACUGUAUAUUGUUCCGCCUUUGAAGAAGUUGUUUAACAUCAGCGAGUCUCUUGUUAACUAGCUUGUGCCCUUUUCCUCGUGGAUUUGAAGAAACGAAAUUCCAAUGGGAAUCCAGAAAUGGAAAAAAAAAAGGGACGGUCAACCUGCACCUGGCUGGGACACUAUGAAAACCCUGAAGAGCACUAAGAAGACAGUGUCGCUGCACUUCGAGGGAAAAUGGCAAACGCCUGCCAAUACUGUUUCUACUGAAGCUCCGGACCCCGAUCUCAAAUAACCAACUACUGGGCGUGCGGUCACUGUGUUGCCGUCCACGGCCAUGCUCUGACCUUGUGGGUAAGUCUCGGCCUCUACUCUACUCUGUAAACAAGCUUACUCCAUUUGGACCCCAAUACGGGCUCCAGAACCCCAGCUUUGACAACGGGUAAUUAGCA
Molecule: long non-coding RNA, 492 nt
Organism: Leopardus geoffroyi (Geoffroy's cat)
Lineage: Eukaryota; Metazoa; Chordata; Mammalia; Carnivora; Felidae
Exons: 3
Source: RefSeq, a predicted model, not a curated record